RNAcentral lists this ribosomal RNA (289 nucleotides) under Escherichia coli. RNAcentral describes it as "partial 23S ribosomal RNA". It matches the Rfam family "Bacterial large subunit ribosomal RNA", at positions 2660 to 2925 of the family's 2925-position model. Lineage: Bacteria; Pseudomonadati; Pseudomonadota; Gammaproteobacteria; Enterobacterales; Enterobacteriaceae. The record is from RNAcentral.
AACUGAGGGGGGCUGCUCCUAGUACGAGAGGACCGGAGUGGACGCAUCACUGGUGUUCGGGUUGUCAUGCCAAUGGCACUGCCCGGUAGCUAAAUGCGGAAGAGAUAAGUGCUGAAAGCAUCUAAGCACGAAACUUGCCCCGAGAUGAGUUCUCCCUGACUCCUUGAGAGUCCUGAAGGAACGUUGAAGACGACGACGUUGAUAGGCCGGGUGUGUAAGCGCAGCGAUGCGUUGAGCUAACCGGUACUAAUGAACCGUGAGGCUUAACCUUACAACGCCGAAGGUGUUU